UAGAUGGAAGCCCGUUGGUUUGGGCGCCUAGCUGUUAACUAGGAUUUUGUGGGAUCGAAGCCCGCCUGUCUAG
RNAcentral lists this transfer RNA (73 nucleotides) under Coccyzus erythropthalmus (black-billed cuckoo). RNAcentral's name for it is "tRNA-Asn". Lineage: Eukaryota; Metazoa; Chordata; Aves; Cuculiformes; Coccyzidae. The record is from RNAcentral.